GGUGGGGUGGCCGAGUGGUCAAAGGCAGCAGACUGUAAAUCUGCCGACACCGUCUACGAAGGUUCAAAUCCUUCCCCCACCACCA
This 85-nucleotide transfer RNA is filed under the name Pelotomaculum sp. RNAcentral's name for it is "tRNA-Tyr". It matches the Rfam family "tRNA". From Rfam's summary of the family: Transfer RNA (tRNA) molecules are approximately 80 nucleotides in length. Their secondary structure includes four short double-helical elements and three loops (D, anti-codon, and T loops). The record is from RNAcentral. Lineage: Bacteria; Bacillati; Bacillota; Clostridia; Eubacteriales; Desulfotomaculaceae.